CGUAGGUGAACCUGCGGAAGGAUCAUUAAUAGUGCCCUCUGAUGCAAAUCAUUGGGUUAGAUCUGCUCUCUUCGCAAGAAGAGGGUUUCCAUACACACCGUGAACUGUGGCUUCGGCCAUCACAAACUGUUAGUAAUGAAUGUAAUAUCAUAACAAAAACAAAACUUUUAACAACGGAUCUCUUGGCUCUCGCAUCGAUGAAGAACGCAGCGAAAUGCGAUAAGUAAUGUGAAUUGCAGAAUUCAGUGAAUCAUCGAAUCUUUGAACGCACCUUGCGCCCUUUGGUAUUCCGAAGGGCAUGCCUGUUUGAGUGUCAUGAAACCUCACCCCACUUGGGUUUUUGCCUGAGCGGUGGUGUAUUGGGUGUUGCCUUGCUAAAGGCUCGCCUUAAAGACAUAAGCACCUUGGAUGUAAUACGUUUCAUCCUUCUGGGUGGCUGAUAACCCCACAUAUUCAUGAUCUGGCCUCAAAUCAGGUAGGGCUACCCGCUGAACUUAAGCAUAUCAAUAAGCCGG
Molecule: ribosomal RNA, 515 nt
Filed under: fungal sp. BB9
Lineage: Eukaryota; Fungi
Also listed under: 1 other name
Description: eukaryotic LSU rRNA
Rfam family: 5.8S ribosomal RNA (bases 163-316)
Source: RNAcentral